GGAUGCAUUUCUGGGUAAUUACUCCUUUGGCAGUAGCUAAUCAAAUAUGUUAAGGCAUGGUUUCUUACGUGGUUACCUCACUGCCAAGGGAGAUUUGCCCCGUAAUUCUCGC
This 112-nucleotide microRNA precursor is filed under the name Erythranthe guttata (spotted monkey flower). RNAcentral's name for it is "Mimulus guttatus (spotted monkey flower) mir-399 microRNA precursor family". It matches the Rfam family "mir-399 microRNA precursor family". Rfam says of the family: mir-399 was identified in both Arabidopsis thaliana and Oryza sativa computationally and was later experimentally verified. mir-399 is thought to target mRNAs coding for a phosphatase transporter. The mature sequence is excised from the 3' arm of the hairpin. The record is from Rfam by way of RNAcentral. Lineage: Eukaryota; Viridiplantae; Streptophyta; Magnoliopsida; Lamiales; Phrymaceae.